UACGGAGGGGGCUAGCGUUGUUCGGAAUUACUGGGCGUAAAGCGUACGUAGGCGGCUUUGUAAGUUAGAGGUGAAAGCCCGGAGCUCAACUUCGGAAUUGCCUUUAAGACUGCAUCACUUGAACGUCGGAGAGGUGAGUGGAAUUCCGAGUGUAGAGGUGAAAUUCGUAGAUAUUCGGAAGAACACCAGUGGCGAAGGCGGCUCACUGGACGACUGUUGACGCUGAGGUACGAAAGCGUGGGGAGCAAACAGG
Molecule: ribosomal RNA, 253 nt
Filed under: uncultured bacterium
Lineage: Bacteria
Description: partial 16S ribosomal RNA
Rfam family: Bacterial small subunit ribosomal RNA
Source: RNAcentral